AGAUAAUAUUUUUUAUACAGUUCACACAAAGUGAUCAUGAUUAACAUUAUUAAUGUUUUAUUGAAUAAUGUUCAUACAAAGGGCUCUUUGUAAAAAAUGAUUUGUUAGUACUGAAACGUUGAUGACUAACAAGUACUGUAAGUUCAGAAAUUAUAGCAUGCAUUUAUAUUUGUUAUUUUUUAAGAGCGAACAAAAUGAGAGAUUAAUUAUUGCGAUACCAAGAAAAUCUGUGUACAAUUAAAUGUAUCA
This 249-nucleotide long non-coding RNA is filed under the name Mytilus galloprovincialis (Mediterranean mussel). The record is from RNAcentral. Lineage: Eukaryota; Metazoa; Mollusca; Bivalvia; Mytilida; Mytilidae.